Molecule: long non-coding RNA, 2432 nt
Organism: Macaca fascicularis (crab-eating macaque)
Lineage: Eukaryota; Metazoa; Chordata; Mammalia; Primates; Cercopithecidae
Source: Ensembl
CCUGGUUAAAAAAUAGCCAAAGGACCUAAACGAACAUUUCUCUAAAUGUACAAAUGACCAAGAGGUAUCUGAAAAGGUGUUCAAUAUCACUAAUUAUUAUGGACAUUUAAAUUAAAACCACAAUGAGCUAUCACCUCACACCUGUUAAAAUGGUCAUUAUUAAAACUGCAAAAAAUAGCAAGUGUUGGUGAGGUGUAGAGAAAUUGGAACCCUGUGCAUUGUUAGUGAAGAUGUAAAAUGGUGCUACUGCUAUGGAAAACAGUAUGGAGGCCUCUCAAAAAAUUAAAGAUAAAGUUACCAUAUUGCAGUAGUCUGUUCUCACACUACUAUAAAGAUAUUAUCUGAGACUGGGUAAUUUAUAAAGGAAAGGGGUUUCAUUGACUCACAGUUCCACGUGGCUGGGGAAGCCUCAGGAAACUUACAAUCAUGGUGGAAGGUGAAGGAGAAGAAAGCACCUUCUUUACAAGGCAGCAGGAGAGAGUGUACAAGGGAAACGGCCACUUUUAAACCAUCAGAUCACGUGAGAACUCCCUCACUAUCAUGAGAACAACAUAAGGGAAACCGCCCUAUAAUCUAGUCACCUUCCUCCAGCACCCUCUCUCAAUAUGUCGGGAUUAGAAUCAGAGAUGAGAUUUGGGUGGGGACACAGAGCCAAACCAUAUCAGAUAUGAUCCAGCAAUCUUGCUUCUGGGUAUAUAUCCAAAGGAAUUGAAAUCAUGAUCUUGAGAUAUCUGUACUUUUUUGUUCAUUGCAGCAUUAUUCAGAGUAGCCAAGAUAUGGAAACAAGCUAAAUGCGAAUUGAUGGAUGAAUAGAUAAGAAGCAUGUGAUGUGUAUAUAUAUCAUGUGUACAAGGAAACAUGGAGCGUGAUCUAAGGCAACUACCAGCAUUGAUUUUGAUCAUAAGCCAGUUGCUUAAAGACCGGUGUGGAAAGGGCUUAAGAAGGAAGAGGGCCAGAGGGAAAUUACCAUCUGGAGACAAGAUGACACUGGGAACUUGGAGGAAAACGUUCAGGUACCGUAUGAGGAAGCAGAACACUGGUUGUAGGUUGUGUAUCAAUGGCUUUCUAUGAGUAAGUGACCUGAAAAUGUAUGUGACUAAGCACCAUAAUGUGGAUUUCUGAAAGCUGAAUGACUUAAAGAAAAAUCUGCUUAUUUCUAAGAAAACCAACAAGUGGUUUCUUUCAGUAAGUUAUUAAAUUUCUUUAAGGCAUGAAUGAUCUAUUAUGUAAGGAAAGUGUUUGAAUACAGGUAUUCUGUCCUUAAGUUUGGACAUUCCUGGAAACCAAACAGCCUAUAAUGCAAAGCUCUGCUGUGUGCAGAUCUGUCCUUCUUUCACUAGUCUCUUCUAUAUUUAUGUCUCUAGUCAUAGUUUAUGUGAAUAAUAAAUUAGGCUGUGGAGUCCCUUGGAAUUCUUAUUUAAUAUGCUGCCAUUUCCUUAAUUAUUAAAAGCUUUUACACCUUCAUAAGAGAUGCUUAGUUGCUAGAGCCUCUCCAUACACUAAUUCCCAGAAGAUGCUUAAGAAAUGAGUCCCAGGAAGGUGUCCAUUGCAGGAAUUCUGGAUAGGACUCUGAGCUUAUGGACAGAUGUUGAUGCAAACUGACUUGAGACAGCGCAACCCUUAAGGUACCUUUAGAAAAUAUUCGUGGCUGCAAAAAGUUCUUGGGGAGAUGCAGUUUAUCUAUUUCUCCACAACAUUAUUACUAGUUUAUAAUAAAUGUAAAUUUCAAACCAAAUUAUUAAACAAACACAGUUUACCAAGUGUGAACAAAACUGUAUGCACAAUAUCUUCUGAAAAUUUGAUAACAUUCCCACUCUCAGUCUUUUCAAGUGCCCUGAAGACCACCUUGCUUAAAAGGUUUACUUGAAACAAUUAUAACAAUAAUCUGGAGGCAAGAUUUGGCUAAUAUUGUAUCUGGCAUCAGGAAAACAGAAUUCUCCACUGCACCGUCUGGACCCCAGUGCAAGUAAGAUCUAAUUCUCAAGCUUUGUGUCCAAAGAUCCUUUCAUGCAAGGGUGGGAGGUAUCUCUAAACCUUCAGACAACAUAUCUUGAAUACCACUACUGUCACCAAAAAGGACCUAUUUGUAAUAUUCAUUAUGCUUUUACACAAGCAUGAUUUUCACAAAUGAAGCCCCAUUUCCUAUGUGCAUUAUCUUAAUUGGCAAAAAUCUAGCACUGACAAGAAAAAAAGAUAGCUGAAGUCCUUGCAGUACAUUUCUCUGAAGUGAGGACUGUCUGAUGUCUACUAGGUGAUCAUCCCUGGAAAGUGAAUUAUCAAUUAAGGGUAUAACUUAAACUAAAUAACACAUACAUAAUAUCACACAUCAAUGUUGAUGUACUUUAAAGUAAAUGUAAGGUAUGCAAGUCACUAUUCACAAUAGCAGAAACAUGGAAUAAACUCAGGUGCCCAUCAACAGUGACUUGGAUAAG